This is a long non-coding RNA of Apodemus sylvaticus (European woodmouse), 4633 nucleotides long. RefSeq lists it as uncharacterized. Lineage: Eukaryota; Metazoa; Chordata; Mammalia; Rodentia; Muridae. The record is from RefSeq and is a predicted model, not a curated record. The transcript is spliced from 4 exons.
CAGGCAUUGCUCCAGGAAAGGCCACGCCCCCUGUGCUCUUCCGUCCAAUCGGAGCUAGAGGGAGGGGCAGCCUCGAUCUUGCUCAGCGGAAGUUUUAACAGAGCUGCGCUGAAAGCUAAGCCUUCAUUCUCUUCAAUAGGUGGGUGGUUUAAGCGGCUGGAUGACCAAGCGAAAUGUGGGCUGAGUGAAUUUAGAGGCUCAGGUUCUGUGGAGCAGAAUUUGAGAAUUGAGUUUAGGGUACCGGUGUAAACUUCCUAGAGGAAAUGCGCAGCCGCAAAAGAGAUUUCCGGAUUGGAGUCUUGGCCACCAGGAGAUGGGGACUGGGCGGCCUGGUUGAAGGCCACUGGCAUCCUGUUUCCUUAGUCCCACCUAGGGUGGGUUCUAACACAGCAGGGUUUGCAGAAAAAUAUGCUAGGCCUUUUGUGCUGUUCAGAAGGUCCCGGUGACACCCAAGAGACAUCCGAUUAUAUGCACGUGAAUCCUUUCACCGGAACAAUGGCGACAUCUAUCUUCGUAUUAUCAAAGCAAUUGCAAAAGGAUAUCAAGAUGGAGGGGAGCCCAAAGCAUCAGAGAGAAUUCAUAACAGACAUUGAUUAAACCUGACUUGAUUAAAACCUGACUCCUUUAGAAGGGAAUGCCAACCCAUUGGGAUGCUGAUGAUCUGUAAAGAUCCUAGAGCAGGAGUGCAUGGCCAGUGACACAAGACUUGGGAAUGAAAACUAGAUGUGGUAAACAUCCAGAAAAAGCAGAGACAAGAAGAAAAUGCACAGUGUUAGUACUGGGAUGUUUGAGAUGGGGUCUCCAUGGCCCUGGCUGUCCCUGUUAAUCUGUCUAGUGAUCCAGACAGCAUCUGGUAUGAGCUGCAGAGUUGAUUCUUGUACAGUUUCUGUGGGCUGUAUGUAAAUGGGUUGUUUUGCCAAUCCAUUGCCAGUGCUCUGUUCUGUGAAGGUUGUGGUGAGCUGACACAGCUGUACAGACUGAGCAGAGUGAAUGCAAUCAUGGCGGUAAAGAGCAGGUCACACUGUCUCUGUGAUUGUAAACUUCAUCCUGGGCUAUUUCCUUAGUUAUCCCGUGGUGGAUACUUGGGAGUACUGCAAUAAACAUCCAGUUGCAAAUAUUUCUUCAAUUCAGUUUGUGUCAGAAGCUUAACCAGAGUGCCCUGGUACAUGUUCCAUUUCCAUGGUAAUUGAAUUUUCAGAGUUAAUGUUCUAAGCACACUAAUAUCAGUCUCCUAACUAGCAAGACUGUGCACAUGAUCAGGUUUCCCUGUGACAUUGUCAAACAAUGACUUGGUCACAUUUGUCCAGCCCUCCCUAACCAUUUCUUAAUUUUGAGACAGGGUUUCUCUGUGACUGGUUUAUCUUUGUUCUACCUGCCUCUGUUUCCCAAAUACUAAAACUAAAUGGGCUUUACUUUCUAAAUUCUUAACUGCUGCAUACUUCCAUUUUCCUUUGUGGUAAUUGACAAGGGUUGAACUUGCAUUUUUGGUGGGUGGGGGCAACAGUAUCUCAUAAUUGUCCUGAUACCCAACUAUAGAGAUAGCAUCAGUUUAAAGAAAAAGCCACCAUGCCUAAUCUUAGAGUACUAUAAAAUUACCUGACUUCAAUUUUUUUGCUAGCCUAAACAAAGUAGUGUCACUGGUUAUGGAUAAAUUCUUCUAGGAUGCUGUUGCUUUGUGGUAACAGAUUUCAAGACAGUUCUCAGUAUCCCUGGCUGUCUGAGCUCUGGUCUAGGCUGAUCUUGAACUAGAUCCUCCUGCCUCCCAAAUGCUUGGAAUAAAAGCAUGUCAGCCGACCCCUCUACCUGAUUUAUCUUUAAAUUCAAGGUCUUAAAUUGGGUUUUCACACUAAGCAGGAGGAAUCUAGUCUGGUUUUUUUUUUUCUCCCUGUAUGUGUUAAGUUUUCAUGGUACCAUUGGUGAAAACUUUCUACAUUUGAAAAAUGAGUUGCCUGUGAAUAUGGAGUUCUUUAUGGGUUCUCUACUUUGGGUGCAGUUGAAUGUCUAGUCAGGUAGCUUAUUUUUUUAGGAUGUUAGAAUUCCAUUUGAUACUCUGCCUUUUUUUAUUUUGCCUUGUUCCUAUGUUCUGCUUUGCUGUAUCACAUGAUAUUUGUUGUGUCUCCUUUUUAUUUAUUUGAAGAAAUACUAAUUUUCCUUUUGAUUUCAUCCUUGGUUCUUUGACUUUUCCAGAGUAACUGCAUUUCCAUAUAAGGUGAAAACUGGGGAUAUACUUCAAGACUAAGGCAGGAAGAUUACAUGAGCCUAGUUCAGGGUUCAUUAAUUGAUAAAUCUCAUAGACCCAGAAGGUUCACUUAGUUUCAGCAGAAGUAGGUGGAUCUCGGAUUUCCAAGGCCAGUGUACAGAGCAGGUUUCAGGACAGGGCUACACGGAGAAACACAUGUUGGGUUGUGAAGAGGAAAUGAAAGGCUUGUUGGCCUUUAAGCAAGCCGAGAAAGGUGCAAGUGAGCCAAGAUUGUGAACUAAAAGUGUUUCACACUUAACCUAAUGCUUUUUCUUUUUGCUUAUUUUUGUUUUGUUUUUUUUUUUUUGUAAGGCAGGAGUUCUCUGUUCAUCCCUUGCUGUCCAAGAACUCUGUAGACCAGUCUGCCCUUGAACUCAGAUCCUCCUCCUCCUCCUGAAUGCUGGGAUUAAAAGCAUAUGUCACCACAGCUCAGCCCUCUGUCUAAUUUUCCACUCUGAUUCAAAGUCUGAAUGCUUAGGCAUUUAUUCUACAGUUUUCAUAGUUAGGAAGAGGAAUCAAGUUUGUUUUUUUUUCCCCUGUAGAUGUUGUUUUCCUGGUAUUUUGAAUGAGAUGGACUUAAUUUCUUCACAGGAAACUUUGCUACCUUUGAAAAACAAAUUAGCUGUGAAUAUGCAGUUCUUUAUGGGAUUUCUAUACCAUGUUUGGGUGCAGUUGUCUAGUCAUGUUGUCUCUAGCUUAUUUUUACACAGAAAAUCACAGUCUCUUCCACAUAUUAUUUACUUAUUCCUAUUUCUAUAGGAUGGUAAAAAGGUUUUCAUUUGAUACUCUGCUUUUUGGGGUUUGUGUUUCUAUGUGCAUGUUGAUUUCUGCAAGCUCUAGUUUGCUCUAGUUGAUUUCUGCUUUUGCUGUAUCACAUGUUACUUGUCUCUUCUUUAAUUAUUUGAAAAAAUAGGAAUUUCCCGUUUGAUUUCAUCCUUGAUUCAUUGGCUAUUCAGGAGUAACUGAGGGCUUGAGAGAUGGCUCAGUGUUUAAGAGCACGGACUGCUCUUCCAGAGGUCCCGAGUUCAAUUUCCAGCAACCACAUGAUGGCUCACAACCACCUGUAAUGGGAUCUGAUACCCUCUUCUGGUGUGUCUGAAGAUAACUGCAGUGUACGAAUAUGCAGAAAAUGAAUAAGUAAUUUUUUAAAAAAUGAAAAAUAACUGAAUUUCCAUGGAAAAUGGGGAUACAACUCAGGAAUCUAAAGCGGGAAGAUCACUUGAGCAGAGUCAAAGGUUCUUUAACUGGUAAACCUCAUAGACCCAGAACAGGCUCAGAUGAUGUAAAUUAUUUCAAAAAACAAAACUGGUAUGGCACAUAUCUUUAGACUAAGCAGAGGCAGGUGGAUCUCUGAGUUCUAAGGUCAGUCUACAAAGCAAGUUUCAGGACAGAACUACGCAGAGAAACAGGUUAGGAGGGUUGUCCAAGAAAGUUAAGGCUAGUUGACUUAUUCAAGCUGGCAACAGUUAAUAGCAAGGCAGUGUUGUGAAAUGGUUUGAUUUUUAAGCCUCUGACCUCUUUCUGUCGUCCCUUCUGCUUAUUUCCUUGUCUUCUGGGUGUUUUAGUUUAUAUGCUUGUUAUAGUUCAAGUUAUUAUGUAUUUUAUAUAUUAAAGAAUACUAGUCUGUUAAAGAUCCCAGAGAUAAACUAAAUCUCUAGUCUCUUCAUAAAUAUAGGUACAUGAUACUGAAGAAAACCAAAUGCAACCUUAUAGAAAUAGAAAACACCAGUGAAGAUUUUCUUUAUUGGUUGUUUACUUCGGAAUAGGGGCUCACUGUUUACACCUGGAGCUCGCUCAGACCAAGCCGGCCUUAGGAAUUUAUGGCAAUCCUACCUCCCAACUGUAGAUUACAGGCAGGUGUCACCAUGCCAGCAAGAGAAUCCUUCCCUUUAAAGGAUUAAACAGAUGGAGUCCAAACCGAUUGGACUUUAGGGAACAUACAGCUAGGCUUAAAGGACCGCAGGAAUAAAGCACAGUAUGGUUUCAGAUGCAUUUGUAAUACAAUGGCAUCUUUGGUAGUAAUGGGAUGGGAAAAAUGGAAUGCAAGCUAUUUGCUGAAUGCUAAGGACUUUGUAGUUUCUGAGCAGAUGGGUUCAAACUCUAAAUGCCUUUUCAGUAAGAACCUGUGAUGAGAAUUUGCUGUGUUCAUUGUGCAUUGAAAGUGAGAUUUUAUAGGGUGGGGAUUAGGGGUGUUAUGUGUAUGAGUGCAAUUGCCCUUUUAGGCCAGAAGGGGGUGUCGGAUGUGAUGCGAGAGUUCAGCUGCUGUGAGGGAACUUGGGUCCUGAAAGCAGUUAGCACAUUUGACCACUGAGCCUUCCCCAUCAUUGACCUGAACAAGAGACAAGUCCAAACAAGGCAUUGUUUUAGUGGGAAAUAAAAUUAAUUAACAUUAAA